RNAcentral lists this long non-coding RNA (5314 nucleotides) under Taeniopygia guttata (zebra finch). RNAcentral describes it as "lncRNA (ENSTGUG00000025653.1)". Lineage: Eukaryota; Metazoa; Chordata; Aves; Passeriformes; Estrildidae. The record is from RNAcentral.
GUCCCUAAGUGACCUCCUGCAGCGCUGCCUCCACUGCGGUUCCAGCGCAGCCUUGCACUGGAGCACUAAUGUGUGUCCCUGCGAGCCAGAGUGACCUUGCUGGGGGACUGGACCCACCGAGUGAUUCAGCAGAUCCCUACGAACCACGCAGGGAUCCAGGAGUCACCCAGGCAGUGGGAUCUGGCCUUGCCAGAAGCAUGAGGGACAAGGCUCCAGCCAUGUCUGCAUGUGUCACACACGGGCCACACAAACCCACAGUGUUCCUGUGGUUGCUUCUGUCUGCAGAGCAUCAGUGGGUCCCAGGACUUCCCCUUCCCACUGCUUGCUGGUUCACAAAGGCUGAUGCUUCUGGAAAAAGCUCUGCCUUGUGGCCUUUAAAAUAAAUAAAUAAAGCGGCGCUGCUGUGGAUUAGUCAUCCUUAUUUUUGAAGGAAGCUAUUUGCCAGCGCUGUCCGAAUCAGGCAUGUGCGUGUGAGAUGGGAACUCCAGAAGGCUGGUAACGUGCUCUGCUCGCUGCUCCUUGGUGCUCAGCCACCCAGGCUUCGUUGAGCUGCUCCUGGCAGGUGGAAAAUCUGACAGUCCAGCUUUCCAGACCUUUCCCUCCUUUUUUUUUCAGUGCUGGAAUAUGCAUUGGCAGGUGUGCAAAUGUGGAGACUGUAACAGCAGCAAGUGAGGAUGGAUGAGCUGUUUUCUGGGGUCACAUCCAACUCCAGAGAAGAAACCCUGGUGAAUUAUAAUUUUUUUCUUGUCUCUGGUAGAUUUUACUCUAAGCUCCGCUGUAUCUUGUGAGAAGACUGAGUUUGACCCUUUUGGCUACUAAAAAUGGUUCUGUUUUUAAACCUUGGUGCUGUUUCCCUUCCCUGUGGUCAUGCAGAAGAGCAAGCGGUGCAAUUAAACAGUACAGCGAAGGGCAGUUCCCUCCCCCUUUCCCUUUCAAAAAAUCCAGAGUUGUGUGUCUUGAACUGCUGCAUAGGCAGAAAACAUACAAAGCCCUUGUCAGCAUUGUGCUGAUGUGUGGCACGUUAAAAAAAAAUACACACAAAAGGGGUGGGGAGAGCGGGUGCCUCCAGGGAGCAAAACUGUGGGGCCCCUUUCCCUCCAAGCCCACAGACCUACGUGGGAUAGUCUAUUCCUCCUAAUUUUGCUCAGGCAAAAGCAGUGGAGGUCAGAGGGAGUGUUGAACAUCUUAAAUGGUAUUGAUGAAGAUCAGGGUCCCCUUGAAUUACAUUUUUUUUCUCUGUGAACUUGGUCCUGUGAGAUGCAGCUGGUUUAUUAUUCCAUUCCUCAGAGUCCUGCUCACGGGGAAGAAGGGAAACGCUUCCUUACUGGGUGUCAUUUCUUCUGUUGUGUUACAAAGGCAAUAACCAGAGACCUGGUGCUGGUCUCUGCCAGGUCACACAUGGCUUGGAGGCGCAGCUUCCCGCAGUCAUUAGUGCACAGGGAGUGUUGGGGGUCGUUAGCCACUCUUAAUGAGGAUAUUGCAUCAGGAUUCCAUGGAUGCUGCUGUCUGACCCGACCCUGGAGAAGCCCCUUAGGAGAAAUUAUUUCACUGACUGGUUGCUGCAGGGAUUUCUGGCACAGCUACAGCUUUAUCCUUCUUUUUGGCCAAAAAUAAGUGCAGGGUGGGGAUGAGGUGGCCAGGUCAGAUUUCAUACCCUGCUCCCUGUGGUAGAUGUGCGAACAAUGUGCCUAAAGCCUUGUUUGAAAUAAGCCAAGGUGGACAGGGAUUUGGAUUUUAUUCCCUCAUUAGGGCUGUGUUGGUUUGGAGAUACACCUUGUACUCUUCAUAGGCCUUUGCUGGCAGGGAAGUUUGGAUGAGCAAGAAGCUGCCUGUUGGGAUGAUUCCACAUUUUUCAGGCUGGCACACCCUGUGGGACUCUAAAUUACUUUCCUUUGGCAGUUUAGGAUAAACGACUGAGAAUUGCCUUGUGAGUGCUGAACUUUUACCCCUGAAGAGUUACUCGAGCUACAUCCAUGAUAUUUCCAAGCUAAACAAAACCUGAAUUUCCAGUGCCAAAAAGCGAUAAAAACCUCAACUCCUCCUCUGUUCAGGAGAGAACCGUGGCCUUUUAAGCUUUGCUCUUAGUCAAAGGAGUUAAAAGUUGCACUGUGAGAUUUGCAGAGGUGAAAAUAAAAGCCAAAGGCAGAUGAGGAACUUCUCCCAUGCCGUGUUGGAGGAGAGGCUUAGAGCGCAGCAGGUGUUGAUGCACAAAUAUUUCUCUUUGUGCUUUCUCUGGAGCGAAGGAGCAGUAACUCCACAGACAUGGGAUCACUCCUUUUCAUUUAAACACCCUCACGUUGCUGUGGUAUCAAAAUGGUGUUUGAUGAAACUAAAGCUCAGAUGGUGGUGGCUUGGUGUUUAUUUUGUGCUGGGUAUGCUGCUCAAUCCAAUGAGGAAUGUGGGAAGAGAAGCCUGUAGCUUGCAGGUUUAGACUGUGGGGCUUGUGCUAAAGCCUUGUCCUGUAACAUUUCCAGUGUAAUUUCUGAGAUUUUUUUUUUUUUUCUCCUGGGCAUUACGCACAGGUAAAAAUCUGGAUGUAGAGUUAAUGCAACAAUUAGGUGUUAAAAAUGGCAAAGUAUAGGAUUUGGUGAUGUAACCAGUGUAACCAGUCCUAGGGGAUUUAUAUCCUUUGCAGCUGUCCUGUUUGGGUAUCCAGUCACAUGGAACUGUCUUUUUUUAUGUUUGGUUUCUUUGGUUUUCCCUUAAAAUGUAAUAUUUUGCAGCCUGGAAGGCCAUAGUCCUGUCUAGCGAUGAAAGCCCUGUGUUUGGGGAGAACCCUUGUGAGGUGAGCAGGGUUGUACAGGAGUUUGGGGGCAAGGAGAAGCAGGGCAGGAACUGGCACUGUGAUAUUCCUGUGAUUGUUUCCCAACAACAGGCUAAAGAAAAAGUGUUAUUUCUAAUAUGUCUACCACACCAUAAGUGUGAGUAAACUCUUUUGCAGUCCUUUGUUGGCAUGUAGGUUUUGGUUGUGUGGUUUAACCAUCACACUGGGUUCUGCUGCUGAAGAAACCUCUGGUUCUUUGUAGAAGGAAUUUUAAAAGCAGAAAUGUGCUUUUAUGUAGAGAUAAUAAUGGGUUCAAUGUCAACUGAGGUCCAGGGCCCCCUGUAUACUGGGCUGUGGGAUGUGACUGGUGCUAAGCCACUGGCAAAAACGGUGGCAUUUCAUGGCAGCUCCUGUCCCUGUGGAUAAGAACACCACAGGGAAGAGCAUCAGAAAACAAAUUACUAAAUACUGCAUUUCAAAAACGUGAAGGGAGUUUUCCGCACAGAGUCAUUUCAUCAGGAAGAUUUGGAGCACUAACCCUCAAAAGAACUGAAAUCAAGAGCUUUAUUAAUAUAAAUCCUGUGCUUUGUGUUGGUUAAGGCUCCAGAACUCAGCUCUGUGCUCCAAGUGUUUUCAGCCCCUAAGCUGAUAGCCUCUGUCUUGGCAACAAAUGGGUCUAAAUAUCAAACAGCACCAAUUCUUUCUUGGAGAAAACGAGCAUAAAGCAGAAUGGGUAAGAUAUAAAAUUAGGCCAAUAAUUCAGGCUGGCUUAAAAAGGAGAUAAAAGCCUAGCUGGGAAUUUGAUAUUCAGUUGUCAUAGUGUUCUUUUCAUAAAUACUAUCAAUGAGUGAGGAAAACACGUAAAUACAUUUUAUCCUGACAAGAUGGUGGCUGGAACUGGCUGGCUCAAACAAAGGAACAAUCUGAGUGUUUUCUGGGGCUCUUUGCUGGGAAACAUCCUGCUUUUUUACAAAAAGCAAAGGAACCGGCUGUGCCCUGGUGGUGGGGAGAUCCCCAUGAAUCCCGGCUGAUGUAGCCAGGGAGAGGUGGAAUAUCCCCCUUUCCCAGCACGUCACACAGAGAUGUUGCUGAGCCAGACCUGAGGGUGGGAAGUUAUGUUCUGAGCCAACAGAGGUUGCUGUCCUUGUUCAGUAUCUAAUCUUUGCUUUUUGAAACGUUUGAUGAGCAGUCUCAGCAAUGUGUGGCAGCUCCACCGCUCGGGAAAGGUGCCGUGUUCAAAAAGGAUAAACCUGCCUUUUGAAGCAUUGUGUCUGCCCACUUCUAUUUAUUGGUUUUUCCUCCUCAAGGAGAGGCUGCUGUGUGGACCCCAAGGAUGUUUUCCACUUUUUCUGCCCUUUUUUUUCCCUUCAAACUGGAGAGCUGCUAACUUUAUUAGCUCCUUAUAUGGCAGCCUCAUUUUCUCACGCCUUUAAUGGCUCUCUUUUGAUCUGUCCUGUUCUUGCCUUGCUUUUCCUGACGUGGUGUUCAAGCUGAGAUGGGUUUAUAACCUGCUCCCUCACUAACAAAUGGCUUGGCACUUUGAUCGCCUCCAGGCACUGAUAAGAAACAUCCAAAUGUUUUAACUGUGGGGCUGGCUGAGUUGUCCAGAGAUAGCUGGGCUCUCAGCUACACCCUCCCAGGAGUAAUUUAAAUUGUUCCCUGCAGUGUGUAUCCCAAAGGCUGAGGGCCAUCGGGUCAUGGAGAACAGCUCAAGUCCCCUUGUGCUCAGCUGUUUGGCCCCCGGGAAGGGCAGCACAGCUGUGUCUUGUCCCUGGGUGCUCAUGGUAGGACACUGGGCUGGCACAAAUGUGUGUCUGUUCUGCAGACACAAGGAUGGUGCUGGUCCUUCGUCACAGCCCCUCUGGCCUGUGUUAUACCUGCUCUGCUCUCCAGCCUGGGUCUGUGUUCUGUAAAAUCUUCGGCUGAGCUGGGGGAUCUGGUUACAGCAGCAUCGCUGGUGCGGUUGCAACUAGGAACAGCUUCCCUGCAAAGCAUUUGAAGAGUAUCACCAUGGUCCAGGGCUUUGUUUUGCGUCACCAGCCGAGCUUUGUGCUCCUCUUCCAGCUGGCUGUUGUGUAAAUGGAACCUUCCUGGCACUCGUCUGAACCCUCUCCUGUCAACAGAGUCGAUGGCUUUGUUUGUGACAGCUCCCAGCCCCUGCAUGUCCUGUGAGAUGGCCGGGUGACAGCAGUGACUCCGUGUGAGAUUCCCUGGAAGGACCUGGGAGCUGCUGUGCUUUACUUGUGUCCCUCAGAGAUGCCACCCCAGCAGGAGAAAGAACGGUUGGGAUUGCAGUUGUAGCAAGUACACUCCAUCAGAGGGAGAAUUUAUCAUGGAAAAGUUGUUUGAUUUUUUGGCAGUUUUGGUUUGGGUUUUUCCUCUCCAAAAUGGAGAGCCUAUUAAAGGUAGAGACAUGUACAAACUGCUCCUUGGGCUCCCCACCAGGUAAAAUGGAAAGCUGAGCCCGGUUCCACACUGGAAGUGCUGGUGGAGCGUGUUGGCAUCGCAUUUUCUUUGCUCACGUGGCUCCAUCAUACGUUUUGAAUAAUA